CGCGAGCAGGUGCGAAAGCAGGUCAUAGUGAUCCGGUGGUUCUGAAUGGAAGGGCCAUCGCUCAACGGAUAAAAGGUACUCCGGGGAUAACAGGCUGAUACCGCCCAAGAGUUCAUAUCGACGGCGGUGUUUGGCACCUCGAUGUCGGCUCAUCACAUCCUGGGGCUGAAGUAGGUCCCAAGGGUAUGGCUGUUCGCCAUUUAAAGUGGUACGCGAGCUGGGUUUAGAACGUCGUGAGACAGUUCGGUCCCUAUCUGCCGUGGGCGCUGGAGAACUGAGGGGGGCUGCUCCUAGUACGAGAGGACCGGAGUGGACGCAUCACUGGUGUUCGGGUUGUCAUGCCAAUGGCACUGCCCGGUAGCUAAAUGCGGAAGAGAUAAGUGCUGAAAGCAUCUAAGCACGAAACUUGCCCCGAGAUGAGUUCUCCCUGACUCCUUGAGAGUCCUGAAGGAACGUUGAAGACGACGACGUUGAUAGGCCGGGUGUGUAAGCGCAGCGAUGCGUUGAGCUAACCGGUACUAAUGAACCGUGAGGCUUAACCUU
This 543-nucleotide ribosomal RNA is filed under the name Escherichia coli. RNAcentral's name for it is "partial 23S ribosomal RNA". It matches the Rfam family "Bacterial large subunit ribosomal RNA", at positions 2388 to 2925 of the family's 2925-position model. The record is from RNAcentral. Lineage: Bacteria; Pseudomonadati; Pseudomonadota; Gammaproteobacteria; Enterobacterales; Enterobacteriaceae.